CCUACGGGAGGCAGCAGUGGGGAAUAGUGGGCAAUGGGCGCAAGCCUGACCCAGCAACGCCGCGGGAAGGAAGAAGGCGUGCGGGUUGGAAACUUCUUUUCUCAGGGACGAAGAAAGUGACGGUACCUGAGGAAUAAGCCACGGCUAACUACGCGCCAGCAGCCGCGGUAAUACGUAGGGGGCAAGCGUUAUCCGGAUUUAUUGGGUGUAAAGGGCGUGUAGGCGGGAGCGCAAGUCAGAUGUGAAAACUCAGGGCUCAACCCUGAGCCUGCAUUUGAAACUGUGUUUCUUGAGUGCUGGGGAGGCAAUCGGAAUUCCGUGUGUAGCGGUGAAAUGCGUAGAUAUACGGAGGAACACCAGUGGCGAAGGCGGAUUGCUGGACAGUAACUGACGCUGAGGCGCGAAAGCGUGGGGAGCAAACAGGAUUAGAUACCCCUGUAGUC
RNAcentral lists this ribosomal RNA (443 nucleotides) under uncultured bacterium. RNAcentral's name for it is "partial 16S ribosomal RNA". It matches the Rfam family "Bacterial small subunit ribosomal RNA", at positions 338 to 795 of the family's 1533-position model. The record is from RNAcentral.